AUUCAUAUAGCUUAUUAUUAGAGUUUAAUAUUGAAGAUAUUAAGGAGGUAAAUAUACCUUUGGAUA
Molecule: transfer RNA, 66 nt
Filed under: Micadina phluctainoides
Lineage: Eukaryota; Metazoa; Arthropoda; Insecta; Phasmatodea; Lonchodidae
Description: tRNA-Phe
Source: RNAcentral